AUGGAGCGGUUACACACGUGGUCAGAUCGGAAGCUGCAUGACACGCUUGGAGAGUCCGACAAAGACCUCACACCGGAUGGGGGAAGACAUGUGAUGGACCAAUACAAGUCGAAGAAGUCGAUGAACGAGUGCAUGGAUCUCAAAGCACCUGCUAAGCGGGCCGUGCACAUGGAUGCACCAUGCCCACAGACACCACUACCAAUGAAGAGCAAUACAUCACCGAUGCGAAAGAUGAUGACCGGAUCUAUGUCAGAAAGGCGGAGGGCUUGGGUACCAGAUCUCAUAGCAGAUCACAAGAAAGACCGAGGGCUCGGGUAUCAGAUCACAAGAUCAAAAUCCAACGACCUCCAUCAUGCCGCAGACUGCCAUCAUCUUCUCCCCAUCUUCUUCCUCCCGAUGACAGUUCCUCCCCGCUCCAUCCUCCUACCCCCCACGGCCGGCAGGUGCUACCGCACACCGCUCCGCCUUCUCUUCAACCUCCCCCACUGCCCAACCAUUCCUAUAAGCCCACAUCACUGGAGAAAACCUCCAGCGAUCCCAUGCCCCCACCUCUAA
Molecule: ribosomal RNA, 555 nt
Filed under: Triticum aestivum (bread wheat)
Lineage: Eukaryota; Viridiplantae; Streptophyta; Magnoliopsida; Poales; Poaceae
Description: partial small subunit ribosomal RNA
Source: RNAcentral